This 1105-nucleotide ribosomal RNA is filed under the name Salmonella enterica subsp. enterica. Its description in RNAcentral is "partial 23S ribosomal RNA". It matches the Rfam family "Bacterial large subunit ribosomal RNA", at positions 1154 to 2215 of the family's 2925-position model. The record is from RNAcentral. Lineage: Bacteria; Pseudomonadati; Pseudomonadota; Gammaproteobacteria; Enterobacterales; Enterobacteriaceae.
CGUAUCACCCAAGACAACUUUACGGAGUUGACGAUUGACGGAGCGAAGCGACGUCAAAGCGUUCAUUAAAGUCGAGUUGGCUUAGGGAUACGUUCGUUGGGUAGGGGAGCGUUCUGUAAGCCAGUGAAGGUGUGUCGUGAGGCAUGCUGGAGGUAUCAGAAGUGCGAAUGCUGACAUAAGUAACGAUAAAGCGGGUGAAAAGCCCGCUCGCCGGAAGACCAAGGGUUCCUGUCCAACGUUAAUCGGGGCAGGGUGAGUCGACCCCUAAGGCGAGGCCGAAAGGCGUAGUCGAUGGGAAACGGGUUAAUAUUCCCGUACUUGGUGUUACUGCGAAGGGGGGACGGAGAAGGCUAUGUUGGCCGGGCGACGGUUGUCCCGGUUUAAGCGUGUAGGUGUGUGUUCCAGGUAAAUCCGGUUCACUUUAACACUGAGGCGUGAUGACGAGGCACUACGGUGCUGAAGCAACAAAUGCCCUGCUUCCAGGAAAAGCCUCUAAGCAUCAGGUAACAUCAAAUCGUACCCCAAACCGACACAGGUGGUCAGGUAGAGAAUACCAAGGCGCUUGAGAGAACUCGGGUGAAGGAACUAGGCAAAAUGGUGCCGUAACUUCGGGAGAAGGCACGCUGACACGUAGGUGAAGUGAUUUACUCAUGGAGCUGAAAUCAGUCGAAGAUACCAGCUGGCUGCAACUGUUUAUUAAAAACACAGCACUGUGCAAACACGAAAGUGGACGUAUACGGUGUGACGCCUGCCCGGUGCCGGAAGGUUAAUUGAUGGGGUCAGCGCAAGCGAAGCUCCUGAUCGAAGCCCCGGUAAACGGCGGCCGUAACUAUAACGGUCCUAAGGUAGCGAAAUUCCUUGUCGGGUAAGUUCCGACCUGCACGAAUGGCGUAAUGAUGGCCAGGCUGUCUCCACCCGAGACUCAGUGAAAUUGAACUCGCUGUGAAGAUGCAGUGUACCCGCGGCAAGACGGAAAGACCCCGUGAACCUUUACUAUAGCUUGACACUGAACAUUGAGCCUUGAUGUGUAGGAUAGGUGGGAGGCUUUGAAGCGUGGACGCCAGUCUGCGUGGAGCCGACCUUGAAAUACCACCCUUUAAUGUUU